UUUCCGUAGGUGAACCUGCGGAAGGAUCAUUCAUAAUAAGUGUUUUAUGGCACUUUUUUAAAUCCAUAUCCACCUUGUGUGCAAUGUCAGGGUUGAUUUUUCUCUCGAGAGGAUCAACCCCAAACAUCAACUAUAUCUCAACUCUUUGUCUGAAAAAUAUUAUGAGUAAAACAAUUCAAAAUACAACUUUCAACAACGGAUCUCUUGGCUCUC
RNAcentral lists this unclassified non-coding RNA (213 nucleotides) under plant metagenome. RNAcentral's name for it is "partial contains small subunit ribosomal RNA, internal transcribed spacer 1, and 5.8S ribosomal RNA". The record is from RNAcentral.